This 253-nucleotide ribosomal RNA is filed under the name uncultured bacterium. Its description in RNAcentral is "partial 16S ribosomal RNA". It matches the Rfam family "Bacterial small subunit ribosomal RNA", at positions 524 to 776 of the family's 1533-position model. The record is from RNAcentral.
UACGGAGGGAGCUAGCGUUAUUCGGAAUUACUGGGCGUAAAGCGCACGUAGGCGGCUUUGUAAGUUAGAGGUGAAAGCCUGGAGCUCAACUCCAGAAUUGCCUUUAAGACUGCAUCGCUUGAAUCCAGGAGAGGUGAGUGGAAUUCCGAGUGUAGAGGUAAAAUUCGUAGAUAUUCGGAAGAACACCAGUGGCGAAGGCGGCUCACUGGACUGGUAUUGACGCUGAGGUGCGAAAGCGUGGGGAGCAAACAGG